This 1313-nucleotide ribosomal RNA is filed under the name metagenome. RNAcentral's name for it is "bacterial LSU rRNA". It matches the Rfam family "Bacterial large subunit ribosomal RNA", at positions 1563 to 2925 of the family's 2925-position model. The record is from RNAcentral.
GGAUUGGGAGGGUUCUACGGAACCCGUUUGGUGAAUCUAGUGCCGAGAAAAGCCUUCUAUGUGUUGAAUUUCUAGUACCCGUACCCCAAACCGACACAGGUGGGUGGGUAGAGCAUACCUAGGGGCGCGUGAUAACUCUCUCUAAGGAACUCGGCAAAAUGGCCCUGUAACUUCGGGAUAAGGGGUGCCUGCGUGAGCAGGCCGCAGUGAAAUGGCUCCGGCGACUGUUUACCAAAAACACAGGUCUCUGCUAAGUCGUAAGACGAUGUAUAGGGGCUGACUCCUGCCCAGUGCCGGAAGGUUAAGGAAGUUGGUUAGCGCAAGCGAAGCUGGCGACCGAAGCCCCGGUGAACGGCGGCCGUAACAAUAACGGUCCUAAGGUAGCGAAAUUCCUUGUCGGGUAAGUUCCGACCCGCACGAAAGGAGUAACGAUCAGAGCGCUGUCUCGGAGAGAGACACGGCGAAAUAGGAUUGUCCGUGAAGAUACGGACUACCUGCACCCGGACAGAAAGACCCUAUGAAGCUUUACUGUAACUUGGAAUUGUGUUCGGACUUUGUCUGCGCAGAAUAGGUGGGAGGCUAUGAAACGUUCCUCGCGGGGAACUGGAGCCAUCGUUGAGAUACCACUCUGGCAGAGUCUGGAUUCUAACCUACGGGGACAGUUCCAGGUGGGCAGUUUGACUGGGGCGGUCGCCUCCUAAAAUGUAACGGAGGCGCGCAAAGGUUCCCUCAGGCUGGUUGGAAAUCAGCCAUAGAGUGUAAAAGCAUAAGGGAGCUUGACUGUGAGACCUACAAGUCGAGCAGGGACGAAGGUCGGCUUUAGUGAUCCGACGGCACUGAGUGGAAGGGCCGUCGCUCAACGGAUAAAAGUUACUCUAGGGAUAACAGGCUGAUCUCCCCCAAGAGUUCACAUCGACGGGGAGGUUUGGCACCUCGAUGUCGGCUCGUCGCAACCUGGGGCGGUAGUACGUCCCAAGGGUUGGGCUGUUCGCCCAUUAAAGCGGCACGUGAGCUGGGUUCAGAACGUCGUGAGACAGUUCGGUCCAUAUCCGGUGUAGGCGUAGGAGCAUUGAAAGGAUCUCUCCUUAGUACGAGAGGACCGGGAGGGACGUACCUCUGGUGUACCUGUUAUCGUGCCAACGGUAAACGCAGGGUAGCCAUGUACGGAGUGGAUAACCGCUGAAAGCAUCUAAGUGGGAAGCCCACCUUAAGAUGAGUGCUCCCUUGAGGCCACGGGAAGACGACCCGUUUGAUAGGCGCUAGGUGGAAGUGCAGUAAUGCAUGCAGCCGAGGCGUACUAAUAGGCCGAUUGC